GAUGAAGAACGUAGCGAAAUGCGAUAAGUAAUGUGAAUUGCAGAAUUCAGUGAAUCAUCGAAUCUUUGAACGCACAUUGCGCCCGCCAGCAUUCUGGCGGGCAUGCCUGUUCGAGCGUCAUUUCAACCCUCGCAGCCCAUCUGGGCAGCGGUGUUGGGGACCGGCACCACCGGCGAAGCCCUUAGGGGCCCAGCCGGCGCCGCCCCCGAAAUACAGUGGCGGUCUCGCUGCAGCCUCCCUUGCGUAGUAGCACACCUCGCACCGGAGCGCAGCGCGGCCACGCCGUAAAACCCCCGACUUUCUGAGUUUGACCUCGAAUCAGGUAGGAAUACCCGCUGAACUUAAGCAUAUCAAUAGCGGAGGA
This 364-nucleotide unclassified non-coding RNA is filed under the name soil metagenome. Its description in RNAcentral is "partial contains 5.8S ribosomal RNA, internal transcribed spacer 2, and large subunit ribosomal RNA". The stretch from base 1 to 120 matches the Rfam family "5.8S ribosomal RNA", at positions 35 to 154 of the family's 154-position model. The record is from RNAcentral.